This 356-nucleotide ribosomal RNA is filed under the name uncultured Cellulomonas sp. RNAcentral describes it as "bacterial SSU rRNA". It matches the Rfam family "Bacterial small subunit ribosomal RNA", at positions 1027 to 1382 of the family's 1533-position model. The record is from RNAcentral. Lineage: Bacteria; Bacillati; Actinomycetota; Actinomycetes; Micrococcales; Cellulomonadaceae.
UCGGUGUACAGGUUGGUGCAUGGUUGUCGUCAGCUCGUGUCGUGAGAUGUUGGGUUAAGUCCGCAAUGAGCGCAACCCUCGUCCUAUGUUGCCAGCGGGUCAUGCCGGGGACUCAUGGGAGACUGCCGGGGUCAACUCGGAGGAAGUGGGGAUGACGUCAAAUCAUCAUGCCCCUUAUGUCUUGGGCUUCACGCAUGCUACAAUGGCCGGUACAAAGGGCUGCGAUACCGCGAGGUGGAGCGAAUCCCAGAAAGCCGGUCUCAGUUCGGAUUGGGGUCUGCAACUCGACCCCAUGAAGUCGGAGUCGCUAGUAAUCGCAGAUCAGCAACGCUGCGGUGAAUACGUUCCCGGGCCUU